Molecule: ribosomal RNA, 440 nt
Filed under: uncultured bacterium
Lineage: Bacteria
Description: partial 16S ribosomal RNA
Rfam family: Bacterial small subunit ribosomal RNA
Source: RNAcentral
CCUACGGGGGGCAGCAGUGGGGAAUAUUGCACAAUGGGGGAAACCCUGAUGCAGCGACGCCGCGUGAGUGAGGAAGUAUUUCGGUAUGUAAAGCUCUAUCAGCAGGGAAGAAAAUGACGGUACCUGACUAAGAAGCCCCGGCUAACUACGUGCCAGCAGCCGCGGGAAAACGUAGGGGGCAAGCGUUAUCCGGAUUUACUGGGUGGAAAGGGAGCGUAGACGGGUGAUCAAGUCAGAAGUGAAAAACCAGGGCUUAACCGUCGGACUGCUUUUGAAACUGAGUAGCUUGAGUGCAGGAGAGGUAAGCGGAAUUCCGAGGGUAGCGGUGAAAUGCGUAGAUAUUAGGAGGAACACCAGUGGCGAAGGCGGCUUACUGGACUGUAACUGACGUUGAGGCUCGAAAGCGUGGGGAGCGAACAGGAUUAGAUACCCCUGUAGUC